Mycena latifolia is the source of this 95-nucleotide non-coding RNA. The record is from the annotation of a GenBank genome assembly. NCBI's taxonomy places the organism in Eukaryota, Fungi, Basidiomycota, Agaricomycetes, Agaricales, Mycenaceae.
GACCCAGUGGUGAAGUGGUAUAGCAUCCGGUUUAUCUCAGUGAGACAAUCUCGGAGUUUCUGCGGAAAGCACCCGUUUGAUUCGGGUCUGGGUCA